UACGUAGGGUGCGAGCGUUAAUCGGAAUCACUGGGCGUAAAGGGCGUGUAGGCGGGAAGGAAAGUCAGAUGUGAAAUCCCUGGGCUCAACCCAGGAACUGCAUUUGAAACUCCCUUUCUUGAGUGUCGGAGAGGAAAGUGGAAUUCCUGGUGUAGAGGUGAAAUUCGUAGAUAUCAGGAGGAACACCGGUGGCGAAGGCGGCUUUCUGGACGACAACUGACGCUGAGACGCGAAAGCGUGGGGAGCAAACAGG
This 253-nucleotide ribosomal RNA is filed under the name uncultured bacterium. RNAcentral's name for it is "partial 16S ribosomal RNA". It matches the Rfam family "Bacterial small subunit ribosomal RNA", at positions 524 to 776 of the family's 1533-position model. The record is from RNAcentral.